This 369-nucleotide unclassified non-coding RNA is filed under the name Ramicandelaber sp. Its description in RNAcentral is "partial internal transcribed spacer region". The stretch from base 1 to 46 matches the Rfam family "Eukaryotic small subunit ribosomal RNA", at positions 1786 to 1831 of the family's 1831-position model. The record is from RNAcentral. Lineage: Eukaryota; Fungi; Kickxellomycota; Ramicandelaberales; Ramicandelaberaceae.
AAGUCGUAACAAGGUAUCCGUAGGUGAACCUGCGGAUGGAUCAUUACCAAUUUCAACCAUUCAGGUUUUGCGCCCGCUCGCUGUGGUCACCAAAAAAAAAUGGCCCCAGUGAUGGUGCAUAAACUGUCUAUGUAAAUGUUGAACUAGAUCAUUCGGCGUGGGAUUGUGUCUUCAGGGGGUAACCCCUGAGCAAACCCCACUCUGAUAUCCUUUACAUAUAUAUAUAUAUACUACAUCAUAUGUAUAUACUACCAAACAACCAAAAAAAAAGUUUUAAUAGGACUUAGAAAAACGGACUGGGUGGGUAAAAUCCCUGGUCUUUAAUACUAUAACCAAUUACAACUUUCAGCAAUGGAUCUCUAGGCUCUC